Molecule: RNA transcript, 2105 nt
Organism: Eucalyptus grandis
Lineage: Eukaryota; Viridiplantae; Streptophyta; Magnoliopsida; Myrtales; Myrtaceae
Exons: 4
Source: RefSeq, a predicted model, not a curated record
AAACUUUCCACUGCCCUUUUACACAUGACACCCCAAGAUAGUGCUUGACUACUACCCAUUCAUGCCCACCAUCACUCUAGCAUUGCCAAUGUAAGACUCCCCGUCCUGCGCCCCAGAAAAAUGCUGAGCCUCCUCAACUCCAAGCUCCGCCGCCUCUGCCGCCGCCUCCGGUGGCCCUUCCGUCACCGCCGCUCCUCCGACUCCAAGGUCGUCGUCGUCAAGCAAUUCGGCAAAUCCCCCUCCGACCGCGGCACCGCCAGCCCGCGCCCGCACCCGCACCCGCACCCGCCCGCCGCGAACGGAUCCUCGUCCACCGUCCACCCGAACGACUCGAGGCCGCCCGGGUCGAUCCGCAUCGCGACAUUCAACGCCGCGCUCUUCUCCAUGGCCCCCGCCGUCCCGAAGCUGGAGAAGUCGUCGAGCCUCGACUUCGACAGCGAGGGAGCCGUCGUCGGCGGCCUCCGCGCCAAGUCGGCCAAUCUGGACCGCCCGCGGGGCAUACUCAAGCAGUCUCCCCUGCACCCGCUCAACGGCCAGGAUCACCUGACGAAGCAGCAGAAGUUCGCGAGAUCGAAGCUCCGGGUCUCCAUCAACCUGCCGGACAACGAAAUCUCCCUCCUCCGCAGCCGGCGGAACCUGAGCUUCAGCGAAUCGUCCGCCGCCACCGCCGCCGCCGCCGCCGCCUUCGAACCUCCGAGUUCUCCUUCUCCAUCUCCCCACUCCUCGUCCUUGGCCUCAGCGUCGAUCGGUCGAAUCUUCAAAGGGAAGGCUCCGGCGACGGCGAGGGGGAGCCUCGAGAACGGCGGUAGCGGCGGCGACCCCCGCGGCGGCCGGCAGGCGUACAGGAGCACGAGGACGGUGGUGGAGGUUCUGCGGGAGCUGGACGCGGACAUAGUGGCGCUGCAGGACGUGAAGGCGGAGGAGGAGAGGAGAUGAAGCCGCUGUCGGAGCUGGCGGCGGCGCUGGGGAUGAGCUACGCGUUCGCCGAGAGCUGGGCGCCGGAGUACGGCAACGCCGUCCUCUCCCGGUGGCCGAUCAAGCACUGGAAGGUCCAGAAGAUAUUCGACGACACCGAUUUCAGGAACGUUCUGAAGGCAACAAUAGAAGUGCCCCAUGUUGGGGAAGUGAACUUCCAGUGCACCCACCUGGAUCAUCUCGACGAGAACUGGCGGAUGAAGCAAGUCGACGCCAUCAUCCAGUCAAGCGACUCCCCCCACAUCUUGGCCGGUGGCCUCAACUCUCUCGAUGAGACCGAUUACUCGCAAGAGCGGUGGACCGACAUCAUCAAGUACUAUGAAGAGAUGGGAAAACCGACCCCAAAGGUUGAAGUCAUGAGGUUUCUGAAGAGCAAGCAGUACACAGAUGCUAAGGACUUUGCCGGAGAAUGCGAGUCCGUGGUCGUCAUUGCCAAAGGACAAAGUGUGCAAGGGACGUGCAAAUACGGAACGAGGGUGGACUACCUACUGGCGUCAGCAGAUUGCCCAUACAAGUUCAUUCCGGGGUCGUAUUCGGUCCUAUCAUCGAAAGGGACAUCGGAUCACCACAUCGUAAAGGUCGACGUAACGAAAUGCGAAAACAACCCUCCCCAUGAAAGCAAUGGCAACAACAAUAAAAUUACCAAGAAAAGGCGACGACAGCGCAAGCACCAGGCCGUUGUAAAGAUCUCAGGCACAGCUCCUCCUUCAAAGGGUAUAUGGACAACGAACACAUUAAGCAAAGUCAAAUGACAUUACAUUUAUAUCUCCCUUUUCUUUCCACUCUUUUCUCAGCUGCUGCUCCUGUUGCUGCUGUUGAGUGAACUUGGGCAUGCUGGCUUCGUCAAUCUCUAUGUAAAUCUUCGAUUGUUUUGUGCAUCUUGUCUUCUCUGUUUUUUUCUUCUUCAGUUUAGAGUUGAAGAGGGGAGGGUUCUGGUGUGAUGGCUUCCUCACAUCUGUAUAGAUUUCGACACGACAGAACUGAAUUCUUACGUUUCAACUAGGCAUUCUAAGCGGUUCUGCCAAGUUCUCUGCCAAGUUCUUUUUCAGUAUUUUAUGCCUUUUCUUUCCGCUUGUAAUCUUAACUGCAAGAUUCAGAUUAGUUUUGUCGAGGGCGACAUCUUAAGUUGA